This 433-nucleotide ribosomal RNA is filed under the name uncultured bacterium. RNAcentral's name for it is "partial 16S ribosomal RNA". It matches the Rfam family "Bacterial small subunit ribosomal RNA", at positions 29 to 507 of the family's 1533-position model. The record is from RNAcentral.
AACGAACGCUGGCGGCAUGCCUAACACAUGCAAGUCGAACGAGACCUUCGGGUCUAGUGGCGCACGGGUGCGUAACGCGUGGGAACCUGCCCUUAGGUUCGGAAUAACUCCCCGAAAGGGGUGCUAAUACCGGAUAAUGUCUUCGGACCAAAGAUUUAUCGCCUUUGGAUGGGCCCGCGUUGGAUUAGCUAGUUGGUAGGGUAAAAGCCUACCAAGGCGACGAUCCAUAGCUGGUCUGAGAGGAUGAUCAGCCACACUGGGACUGAGACACGGCCCAGACUCCUACGGGAGGCAGCAGUGGGGAAUAUUGGACAAUGGGCGAAAGCCUGAUCCAGCAAUGCCGCGUGGGUGAUGAAGGCCUUAGGGUUGUAAAGCUCUUUUACCCGGGAUGAUAAUGACAGUACCGGGAGAAUAAGCGCCGGCUAACUCCGUG